AAGCUUCCGUUCUGCGGACUAUUUGUGCAUACUGGUUGCAAAGUUUUGUAACUGCGUUGGUGGCGCCCUUCGCGUGGGCAGCAGGGCGGUAUGUUUUCACCAGUGUUCAUGAAAGGUGCGUUGCGAAGCAAAUGCAAUGCCCCGCAAUGUGAGUGCGACGGAUUUUGCCGUUCCGCGAACAAUGAACCUGCUGCACCAUUCCAGGCCGGUUGGCGCUCAUACUUUGGGCACAGCCCAGUAUAACAUGCACGAAUUGGGACAAACCAUGACGUGUAUUUCUCCGCACCCAGUCAACUGCCAGAAGUGACUCAAACACAGGCCACCAGUGGCACUCAGCUGUACUAGUGCACUGCUGCGGAAAUUGCCAGCACCAGUGGCUUUGCAACAGCUGCUUCACAGCAUGUCGGGGUCUGCAGAUUGGCGAGAUGAGAAAACAACUUCGAGGAAACUAUUCCUUCCGCCCGA
Long non-coding RNA from Dermacentor albipictus, 465 nucleotides. RefSeq lists it as uncharacterized. The record is from RefSeq and is a predicted model, not a curated record. Lineage: Eukaryota; Metazoa; Arthropoda; Arachnida; Ixodida; Ixodidae.